CCCUAUGGGGUGCAGCAGGUGUGACGACAACAAAAUGGUGAUGCCCCGCGUUUUCGCCAGAUCCGCGAUCAGGUCGAGCCUCUCGAGGCGCCCAUCCGGAUCAAGUCCGCUCGUGGGUUCAUCGAGCAGUAACAGUUUUGGGUCAUGGAUCAGCGCCUGGGCAAAUUUUACCCGCUGGCGCAUGCCGGUUGAGUAGGUCUCCAUCCGCUGAUACCGCGAGGAUCCAACCUUCACGUAAUUCAGUACUUCAUGCGCACGUUCCAUGGCGUCCACGCGUGUCAUCCCGAACAGGCGGCCGCAAUAGGUCAAAAACGAUACCGCGCUGAUCUUCGGGCAUACGGAUUCGCGCUCCGGCAUAUAGCCCAGAUAAUGCCGGAUCGCCAGCGAAUGGCGCGGCAUCCGCUUUCCAAACAUUUCGACCACACUGCCGGAAUUGGCGGGGGGGC
RNAcentral lists this ribosomal RNA (446 nucleotides) under uncultured prokaryote. Its description in RNAcentral is "partial 16S ribosomal RNA". The record is from RNAcentral.